GCCCAGGUGACCACAGAUCUUUUCUCURUGUGUUGCAGGAUCAUUGCCGGAGGGCUCGGCCAGCCUUGAAGGUCUCUGGAGACCCCCUGGGUGCUCGCGCUGUGCACGAGUCCUCUGUGCCUGGAGCUGCUGUGGGCCAGGCUGAGCCAUGACCUCCCUCCCAGCACGUCGCGUCGGCACCCUGCGCCCAUCCCAGCUGUGGCCUCCGCUGCGCUUGGGGCCAGUCACCUGCUGACCCAAAGCCAGGCCUGCAGCUGGCAGCCCUUGGCGCUGCUCAGCAAGGAGAGGCCGGCAUCSCUGCCCGGAGCGAGUCCUGCUGAACUGCACCUCCCUCGCUGCUGUUUGCCCUUGCAAAGGCAAGUAGUGUCUCUAGUGGUAACUCCCUGUGCUAGAGGCUGCACGAAGGUGGGCCAGAGGCUCUGGGUACUAUCUGGCUUCUGGGUCUCAAUUGYGUUCUGCUUUUGGGGCAUUUUUCUGUGAACACCCUCUGCAUAGCCACUUAAUUCCCGCACCGCUGCCACAGAYGCCAUCUCCGCUGUUCAUGGGUCCAGGCGUCCAGGGCCACACGCGUCUUUCAUUCCAUUCCAGGUAGAGCCCGUCAUAGCAGGGGGG
RNAcentral lists this long non-coding RNA (612 nucleotides) under Dromaius novaehollandiae (emu). RNAcentral describes it as "lncRNA (ENSDNVG00000015964.1)". Lineage: Eukaryota; Metazoa; Chordata; Aves; Casuariiformes; Dromaiidae. The record is from RNAcentral.